RNAcentral lists this ribosomal RNA (517 nucleotides) under uncultured bacterium. Its description in RNAcentral is "bacterial SSU rRNA". It matches the Rfam family "Bacterial small subunit ribosomal RNA", at positions 22 to 518 of the family's 1533-position model. The record is from RNAcentral.
GCUCAGAACGAACGCUGGCGGCGUGCUUAACACAUGCAAGUCGAACGCGAAAGGGACUUCGGUCCUGAGUAAAGUGGCGCACGGGUGAGUAACGCGUAGAUAACCUGUCUUAUGUCUGGAAUAAUACGCCGAAAGGGGUACUAAUACCGGAUAUUUUUUGCAUUGCAUAAGCAGUGUAAGCAAAGGUGGCCUCUGACAUAAGCUACUGCAUAAAGAGGGGUCUGCGUACCAUUAGCUAGUAGGUGGGGUAAAGGCCUACCUAGGCUACGAUGGUUAGCGGGUCUGAGAGGAUGAUCCGCCACACUGGCACUGGAACACGGGCCAGACUCCUACGGGAGGCAGCAGUGAGGAAUAUUGCGCAAUGGGGGCAACCCUGACGCAGCGACGCCGCGUGAGUGAGGAAGGCCUUCGGGUCGUAAAGCUCUGUCAAAGGGAAAGAAGUGCAUGGUGGUUAAUACCUGCCAUGUUUGACGGUACCCUUAAAGGAAGCACCGGCUAACUCCGUGCCAGCAGCGGC